This 77-nucleotide small RNA is filed under the name Providencia sneebia DSM 19967. Its description in RNAcentral is "RybB RNA". It matches the Rfam family "RybB RNA". From Rfam's summary of the family: This ncRNA was identified in a large scale screen of E. coli. The record is from Rfam by way of RNAcentral. Lineage: Bacteria; Pseudomonadati; Pseudomonadota; Gammaproteobacteria; Enterobacterales; Morganellaceae.
ACUGCUUUUCUUUGAUGUCCCCAUAUUGAGGAGCCCGAUAGCCAAAUUUUUGUUUUAUUGCUAUCGGGUUUUUUGUU